GGCGGCUCAACACUUAAGUGUUUGGCUGCUAACCAAAAAGUUGGUGGUUCGAACCCAACAGCCGCUC
This 67-nucleotide transfer RNA is filed under the name Loxodonta africana (African savanna elephant). It matches the Rfam family "tRNA". Rfam says of the family: Transfer RNA (tRNA) molecules are approximately 80 nucleotides in length. Their secondary structure includes four short double-helical elements and three loops (D, anti-codon, and T loops). The record is from Rfam by way of RNAcentral. Lineage: Eukaryota; Metazoa; Chordata; Mammalia; Proboscidea; Elephantidae.